This 504-nucleotide ribosomal RNA is filed under the name uncultured bacterium. Its description in RNAcentral is "partial 16S ribosomal RNA". It matches the Rfam family "Bacterial small subunit ribosomal RNA", at positions 28 to 523 of the family's 1533-position model. The record is from RNAcentral.
GAUAAACGCUAGCGGCAGGCUUAACACAUGCAAGUCGAGGGGCAGCAUAGAUUGUAGCAAUACAAUUGGUGGCGACCGGCGCACGGGUGCGUAACGCGUAUGCAACCUACCCGUCACAGGGGGAUAAUCCGGAGAAAUCUGGUCUAAUACCCCAUAACAUAUGGAUCGGCAUCGGUUCAUGUUGAAAUUUUCGGAGGUGACGGAUGGGCAUGCGUAGCAUUAGCUUGUUAGUGAGGUAACGGCUCACCAAGGCGACGAUGCUUAGGGGGACUGAGAGGUUUUCCCCCCACACUGGUACUGAGACACGGACCGGACUCCUACGGGAGGCAGCAGUGAGGAAUAUUGGUCAAUGGGCGCAAGCCUGAACCAGCCAUGCCGCGUGCAGGAUGACGGCUCUAUGAGUUGUAAACUGCUUUUGUACGAGGGUAAAGUGGGUUACGUGUAACCUUUUGAAAGUAUCGUACGAAUAAGGAUCGGCUAACUCCGUGCCAGCAGCCGCCGUAG